RNAcentral lists this ribosomal RNA (300 nucleotides) under uncultured Bordetella sp. Its description in RNAcentral is "bacterial SSU rRNA". It matches the Rfam family "Bacterial small subunit ribosomal RNA", at positions 496 to 795 of the family's 1533-position model. Lineage: Bacteria; Pseudomonadati; Pseudomonadota; Betaproteobacteria; Burkholderiales; Alcaligenaceae. The record is from RNAcentral.
GCUAUCUACGUGCCAGCAGCCGCGGUAAUACGUAGGGUGCAAGCGUUAAUCGGAAUUACUGGGCGUAAAGCGUGCGCAGGCGGUUCGGAAAGAAAGAUGUGAAAUCCCAGAGCUUAACUUUGGAACUGCAUUUUUAACUACCGGGCUAGAGUGUGUCAGAGGGAGGUGGAAUUCCGCGUGUAGCAGUGAAAUGCGUAGAUAUGCGGAGGAACACCGAUGGCGAAGGCAGCCUCCUGGGAUAACACUGACGCUCAUGCACGAAAGCGUGGGGAGCAAACAGGAUUAGAUACCCUUGUAGUC